UCAGUAACGGCGAGUGAAGCGGCAAAAGCUCAAAUUUGAAAUCUGGCACUUUCAGUGUCCGAGUUGUAAUUUGUAGAAGUAGUUUUGGGACUGGUCCUUAUCUAUGUUUCUUGGAACAGGACGUCAUAGAGGGUGAGAACCCCGUAUGAUGAGGCCCCCAGUCCUUUGUAAAACGCUUUCGAAGAGUCGAGUUGUUUGGGAAUGCAGCUCUAAGUGGGUGGUAAAUUCCAUCUAAAGCUAAAUAUUGGCGAGAGACCGAUAGCGAACAAGUACAGUGAUGGAAAGAUGAAAAGAACUUUGAAAAGAGAGUGAAAAAGUACGUGAAAUUGUUGAAAGGGAAGGGCAUUUGAUCAGACAUGGUGUUUUGCGCCCUUUGCUCCUUGUGGGCGGAGGAUACGCAGCUCACUGGGCCAACAUCAGUUUUGGGAGCAGGAUAAAUCUGUAGGAACGUAGCUUUCUUCGGGAAGUGUUAUAGCCUAUGGGAAUACUGCUACCUGGGACUGAGGACUGCGUCUUUUGACAAGGAUGUUGGCAUAAUGGUUAAAUGCCGCCCGUCUUGAAACACGGACCAAAA
This 574-nucleotide ribosomal RNA is filed under the name Hanseniaspora occidentalis. RNAcentral describes it as "eukaryotic LSU rRNA". It matches the Rfam family "Eukaryotic large subunit ribosomal RNA", at positions 80 to 671 of the family's 3401-position model. The record is from RNAcentral. Lineage: Eukaryota; Fungi; Ascomycota; Saccharomycetes; Saccharomycodales; Saccharomycodaceae.